UGGGGAAUUUUCCGCAAUGGGCGAAAGCCUGACGGAGCAAUGCCGCGUGGAGGUGGAAGGCCUACGGGUCGUCAACUUCUUUUCUCGGAGAAGAAACAAUGACGGUAUCUGGGGAAUAAGCAUCGGCUAACUCUGUGGCCAG
RNAcentral lists this ribosomal RNA (142 nucleotides) under uncultured bacterium. RNAcentral describes it as "partial 16S rRNA". It matches the Rfam family "Bacterial small subunit ribosomal RNA", at positions 355 to 511 of the family's 1533-position model. The record is from RNAcentral.